Molecule: ribosomal RNA, 831 nt
Filed under: Amniculicola guttulata
Lineage: Eukaryota; Fungi; Ascomycota; Dothideomycetes; Pleosporales; Amniculicolaceae
Description: partial large subunit ribosomal RNA
Rfam family: Eukaryotic large subunit ribosomal RNA
Source: RNAcentral
UUUGAAAUCUGGCUCCCUUGGGGGUCCGAGUUGUAAUUUGUAGAGGGUGCUUUGGUAUUAGCUGUGGUCUAAGACCCUUGGAACAGGGCGUCACAGAGGGUGAGAAUCCCGUAUGUGGCCAGCAGCUCUUGCCUUGUAAAGCCCCUUCGACGAGUCGAGUUGUUUGGGAAUGCAGCUCUAAAUGGGAGGUAAAUUUCUUCUAAAGCUAAAUACUGGCCAGAGACCGAUAGCGCACAAGUAGAGUGAUCGAAAGAUGAAAAGCACUUUGGAAAGAGAGUCAAAAAGCACGUGAAAUUGUUGAAAGGGAAGCGCUUGCAGCCAGACUUGCCCGUAGUUGUUCAUCUAGGCUUCUGCCUGGUGCACUCUUCUGCGGGCAGGCCAGCAUCAGUCCAGGCGGUCGGAUAAAGGCCUUGGGAAUGUGGCUCCUUUCGGGGAGUGUUAUAGCCCAGGGUGCCAUGCGGCCAGCCUGAACUGAGGUCCGCGCUUCUGCUAGGAUGCUGGCGUAAUGGCUGUAAGCGGCCCGUCUUGAAACACGGACCAAGGAGUCUAACAUCUAUGCGAGUGUUUGGGUGUCAAGCCCGAGCGCGCAAUGAAAGUGAACGGAGGUGGGAACCCCUCGGGGUGCACCAUCGACCGAUCCUGAUGUCUUCGGAUGGAUUUGAGUAAGAGCAUAGCUGUUGGGACCCGAAAGAUGGUGAACUAUGCCUGAAUAGGGUGAAGCCAGAGGAAACUCUGGUGGAGGCUCGCAGCGGUUCUGACGUGCAAAUCGAUCGUCAAAUUUGGGCAUAGGGGCGAAAGACUAAUCGAACUAUCUAGUAGCUGGUUCCUGCC